GAGUUUGAUCGUGGCUCAGGACUAACGCUGGCGGCGUGCCUAACACAUGCAAGUCGAACGAAGCAGCAAUGCUUAGUGGCAGACGGGUGAGUAACGCGUAGAUAAUGUGCCCUCUUGCGGGGGGAUACCGUUUCGAAAGGAACGUUAAUACCGCAUAACACCUUCGAUGGGCAUCCAUUGAAGGUCAAAAUUUCCGGAGCGAGAGGAGCAGUCUGCGUACUAUCAGCUAGUUGGUGAGGUAAUGGCUCACCAAGGCUACGACGGUUAACUGGUCUGAGAGGAUGAUCAGUCACACUGGAACUGAGACACGGUCCAGACUCCUACGGGAGGCAGCAGUGAGGAAUACUGCGCAAAUGGGCGAAAAGCCUGACGCAGCGACGCCGCGUGGAGGAUG
This 394-nucleotide ribosomal RNA is filed under the name uncultured Chlorobium sp. RNAcentral describes it as "bacterial SSU rRNA". It matches the Rfam family "Bacterial small subunit ribosomal RNA", at positions 9 to 410 of the family's 1533-position model. The record is from RNAcentral. Lineage: Bacteria; Pseudomonadati; Chlorobiota; Chlorobiia; Chlorobiales; Chlorobiaceae.